GCCUGGGUGGCUCAGUCGGUUGAGCGUCUGACUUUGGCUCAGGUCAUGAUCUCUCAAUUCGUGAGUUCGAGCCCUGCAUCGGGCU
Molecule: transfer RNA, 85 nt
Filed under: Felis catus (domestic cat)
Lineage: Eukaryota; Metazoa; Chordata; Mammalia; Carnivora; Felidae
Rfam family: tRNA
About the family: Transfer RNA (tRNA) molecules are approximately 80 nucleotides in length. Their secondary structure includes four short double-helical elements and three loops (D, anti-codon, and T loops).
Source: Rfam by way of RNAcentral